Molecule: ribosomal RNA, 253 nt
Filed under: uncultured bacterium
Lineage: Bacteria
Description: partial 16S ribosomal RNA
Rfam family: Bacterial small subunit ribosomal RNA
Source: RNAcentral
GACGGAGGGGGCAAGCGUUGUCCGGAAUCACUGGGCGUAAAGCGCACGUAGGCGGGACGGUGCGUCGGUGCUGAAAGCGCCAGGCUUAACCUGGCGAGGCGUGCCGAUACGACCGACCUCGAGGCAGACAGAGGGUGGCGGAAUUCCGGGUGUAGUGGUGAAAUGCGUAGAGAUCCGGAGGAACCCCGGAGGCGAAGGCGGCGCCCUGGCUCGCAACUGACGCUCAGACACGACAGCAUGGGGAGCGAACGGG